RNAcentral lists this ribosomal RNA (1236 nucleotides) under Salmonella enterica subsp. enterica serovar Mishmarhaemek. RNAcentral's name for it is "partial 23S ribosomal RNA". It matches the Rfam family "Bacterial large subunit ribosomal RNA", at positions 1502 to 2716 of the family's 2925-position model. The record is from RNAcentral. Lineage: Bacteria; Pseudomonadati; Pseudomonadota; Gammaproteobacteria; Enterobacterales; Enterobacteriaceae.
UUGUCCCGGUUUAAGCGUGUAGGUGUGUGUUCCAGGUAAAUCCGGUUCACUUUAACACUGAGGCGUGACGACGAGGCACUACGGUGCUGAAGCAACAAAUGCCCUGCUUCCAGGAAAAGCCUCUAAGCAUCAGGUAACAUCAAAUCGUACCCCAAACCGACACAGGUGGUCAGGUAGAGAAUACCAAGGCGCUUGAGAGAACUCGGGUGAAGGAACUAGGCAAAAUGGUGCCGUAACUUCGGGAGAAGGCACGCUGACACGUAGGUGAAGUGAUUUACUCAUGGAGCUGAAGUCAGUCGAAGAUACCAGCUGGCUGCAACUGUUUAUUAAAAACACAGCACUGUGCAAACACGAAAGUGGACGUAUACGGUGUGACGCCUGCCCGGUGCCGGAAGGUUAAUUGAUGGGGUCAGCGCAAGCGAAGCUCCUGAUCGAAGCCCCGGUAAACGGCGGCCGUAACUAUAACGGUCCUAAGGUAGCGAAAUUCCUUGUCGGGUAAGUUCCGACCUGCACGAAUGGCGUAAUGAUGGCCAGGCUGUCUCCACCCGAGACUCAGUGAAAUUGAACUCGCUGUGAAGAUGCAGUGUACCCGCGGCAAGACGGAAAGACCCCGUGAACCUUUACUAUAGCUUGACACUGAACAUUGAGCCUUGAUGUGUAGGAUAGGUGGGAGGCUUUGAAGUGUGGACGCCAGUCUGCAUGGAGCCGACCUUGAAAUACCACCCUUUAAUGUUUGAUGUUCUAACGUGGACCCGUAAUCCGGGUUGCGGACAGUGUCUGGUGGGUAGUUUGACUGGGGCGGUCUCCUCCUAAAGAGUAACGGAGGAGCACGAAGGUUGGCUAAUCCUGGUCGGACAUCAGGAGGUUAGUGCAAUGGCAUAAGCCAGCUUGACUGCGAGCGUGACGGCGCGAGCAGGUGCGAAAGCAGGUCAUAGUGAUCCGGUGGUUCUGAAUGGAAGGGCCAUCGCUCAACGGAUAAAAGGUACUCCGGGGAUAACAGGCUGAUACCGCCCAAGAGUUCAUAUCGACGGCGGUGUUUGGCACCUCGAUGUCGGCUCAUCACAUCCUGGGGCUGAAGUAGGUCCCAAGGGUAUGGCUGUUCGCCAUUUAAAGUGGUACGCGAGCUGGGUUUAGAACGUCGUGAGACAGUUCGGUCCCUAUCUGCCGUGGGCGCUGGAGAACUGAGGGGGGCUGCUCCUAGUACGAGAGGACCGGAGUGGACGCAUCACUGGUGUU